Molecule: ribosomal RNA, 2846 nt
Filed under: Candidatus Pacearchaeota archaeon
Lineage: Archaea; Nanobdellati
Description: 23S ribosomal RNA
Rfam family: Archaeal large subunit ribosomal RNA
Source: RNAcentral
UGUUAGACGGAUGACUUGGCUUAGACUGCGAAGAAGGACGUGGCAAGCUGCGAUAAGCUUGGGGGAGCCGCAUGCAGGCUUUGAUCCCAAGAUUUCCGAAUGUGAAACAUUAGCCAUGAAGAAUGGCUAGCUCUCCUUAAACAAGAGAGCGCAUACGCCGGGAAUUGAAACAUCUUAGUACCGGCAGGAAAAGAAAACAAUAGUGAUUCCCCUAGUAGCAGCGAGCGAAAAGGGAACAAGGCAAACCGAAUCCCUUGUCGAAAGAUAAGGGAGAUGUGGAGUUGGCUGGGUUACACCUAAAGCUAUGAAGUUGAACUUCUCUGGAAAGAGAGGCCAUAGAGAGUGAUAGCCUCGUAAACAGAAUAGCUAUGGUGAGUGCCCAUGUCCAAGAGUAGCGCGUCCCGGUUAGGACGCGUGAAUAUGGUUCUACUAAGAACCAACUUUAAAUAUGGGUCUAAGACCGAUAGCGCACUAGUACCGCGAGGGAAUGUUGAAAAGAACCUCUAGCGAGGAGUGCAAAGACCUGAAAUCUAACAGCGAUAGUCAGUUACUGCUUUUCACUUCUUUGCAAGUGAAGAGUUGUAACAUACGUUUUGGAAAACGGGCCAGGGAGUUAACGUUAGUGGCGAGGUUAAGUCUCUUUGAGAUGGAACCAAAGCGAAAGCAAAUGCUCGUAUCUUGCAUUUUUGCAAGAAAGGAGCAGUGUCUUAAUGGCAUUAGUCACUAGCGUUAGACCUGAAACCAGGUGAUCUACUCGCGAGCAGGAUGAAGCUUCCCUAACGGGGAGUGGAGGUCCGAACAAGUGUUGUGGGCAAGCACUUUGAUGACUUGUGAGUAGGGGUGAAAAGCCUAUCUAACCUGGCGAUGGCUGGUUCCUGCUGAAAUAUACUUUCGUAUAGUCUCUUGUUAGUUGGUUAUCACGGUAGAGCUACGGAUGGGGCAUGCGGGCGAGUUUUCUCGUCGGUGUCCUUUCCAACUCCGAAUGUGAUAACAACGCAGCAAGGGAAACAGGUGUGCGGGGUAAGCUUGUACACCGAAACCGGAACAACGGAGACUAGAGUUAAGGUCCCUAAAUGUUAACUAAGUGCUUUCGAAAGGAGUCUUGAUUCUGAGACAGUGGGGAGGUAGGCUCAGAGGCAGCCACCCUUUAAAGAAAGCGUAACAGCUCACCCAUCGAGAAUCAGGGCACUGAAGAUUGACGGGGCUAAGUUAACUACCGAGACUCUGGUGUUUUUCCUUCGGGAAAAACAGGUAAGCAGGCGUGCUGUUUGGGCAGAAGCUUCUUCGUAAGAAGGGGUGGACCGAAUAGCAACGAAAAUCCUGGCACUAGUAGGAUCUUACUUACGUGAGAGCCGUAAGGGUCGUAAGAGCUAGGGUUCCUCGACAAUGUCGAUCAGUCGAGGGUUAGCCGAUCCUAACUGUGUCCUUAACUGAGACACGGGAAAGGGAAGCAUGUUAAUAUUCAUGCGCUGCUUAACAUCGUAGAAAUUCUUGAUAACGCUUCGGGAUAAGCAGAGUGUAUCCGUAAGGACAUCUCUUGCGAGAAAGUUGUGGAGUAUCGUAAUGAUGAGAAGCAACUGAAUUGCAGGGGCGAAAGUCUGUUGAUUCCUGGAGCCCGUGAAAAGUCAAGAAUGGAGAUGUUAAGCAAUCGUACCCUAGAACUUGCACUGGUGCUCUUGCUGAGAAGGCAAAGAUCUGCAAGCUUAAAGCUGGUAAGGGAACUCGGCAUAUUGGUCCCGUAGCUUCGGUAGAAGGGAUGCCUAUAUUCGUGUUUAGAAAAAUUUAAACGCGAAGGUAGGUUGCAAUAACAAGGACCGCCCGACUGUUUAUCAAAAACGUAGCCAAGUGCUAGGCCGAAAGGCUUCGUACACUUGGUGAGACCUGCCCAGUCGCGGUGUUUAAAAGUCCUUUUCAAGGGACCUAAGACCCGUGAAACGGCGGGCCUAACUGUGAGGCUCUUAAGGUAGCGUAAUACCUUGUCGUCUGAAUGGCGACUUGCAUGAAUGGUUUAACGAGGUGGUCACUGUCCCUACCAGCGAGCUUCCGAACCUCUCAUCCUGGUGCAAAGACCAGGGACGUCUAGUGGGAAGCGAAGACCUUGUGGACCUUUACUGCAACUUGUCGUUGUUUUUUGUAAAGGGAUACAUAGAGUAGCUAGGAGAGAUGAAGUGUAGCUUUGGCAAAGCGGAUCGAAAGUGUAACACUAGCUAUCUUUUUGCAAGAAACUAACUCGAAAGAGGACAGCGGCUGGCGGGCAGUUUGGCUGGGGCGGCACCCUUCCGAAAAGAUAUCGGAAGGGCCCAAAGGUGAGCUCAACAUAGUUGGAAACUAUGUGUAGAGCGCAGGGGCAAAAGCUCGCCUGACUGUGUUGCGCAGAGAGAGCAAUGCAGAUGCGAAAGCAGGGCCCAGCGAACUCUUGAGGCUUUUUAGUGGGGCCCAAGAGUGACAGAAAAGGUACCCCAAGGAUAACAGGCUUGUCGCACCCGAUAGUCCAUAUUGACGGUGCGGUUUGGUACAUCGCCGUCGGCUCUUCCUAUCCUGGCUGUGCACAAGCAGCCAAGGGUGUCGGGGUUCACGCAUUAAAAGGGAUCGUUAGCUGGGUUAAGAACGUCGCGAGACAGUUUGUUUGAUAUCUACUAGACGUGUUGUUGCCUGAGUGGAACAAGCAAGUAGUACGAGAGGAACCUUGCUUGGGAGCCUCUGGUUUAGCGGUUGUCCUUACAGGGCAGGCCGCGCAGCUACGCUCUAGCUGAUAAGAGCUGAAAGCAUCUAAGCUCGAAGCAGCCCGCGAAAAUAGGCAACUAAGGCCGUUGUAGAAGACAACGUUGAUAGAGUUGGGGUGUAAG